Pteropus alecto (black flying fox) is the source of this 106-nucleotide non-coding RNA. Lineage: Eukaryota; Metazoa; Chordata; Mammalia; Chiroptera; Pteropodidae. The record is from Rfam.
GUGCUUGCUUCGGCAGCACAUAUACUAGAAUUGGAAUGAUACAGAGAAGAUUAACAUGGCCCUGUACAAGGAUGACACACAAAUUAGUGAAACAUUCCAGAUUUUC